UCCUUGGUAGCUCAGACACUAAAGAAUCCACCUUCAAUGCAGAAGACCCAGGUUCGAUCCCUGGUUAAGGAA
RNAcentral lists this transfer RNA (72 nucleotides) under Capra hircus (goat). It matches the Rfam family "tRNA". Rfam says of the family: Transfer RNA (tRNA) molecules are approximately 80 nucleotides in length. Lineage: Eukaryota; Metazoa; Chordata; Mammalia; Artiodactyla; Bovidae. RNAcentral also lists the same sequence under 1 other name. The record is from Rfam by way of RNAcentral.